AACGACUCUCGGCAACGGAUAUCUCGGCUCUCGCAUCGAUGAAGAACGUAGCGAAAUGCGAUACUUGGUGUGAAUUGCAGAAUCCCGUGAACCAUCGAGUCUUUGAACGCAAGUUGCGCCCGAAGCCAUUCGGCUGAGGGCACGUCUGCCUGGGUGUCACGCA
Molecule: ribosomal RNA, 163 nt
Filed under: Cliococca selaginoides
Lineage: Eukaryota; Viridiplantae; Streptophyta; Magnoliopsida; Malpighiales; Linaceae
Description: 5.8S ribosomal RNA
Rfam family: 5.8S ribosomal RNA
About the family: 5.8S ribosomal RNA (5.8S rRNA) is a component of the large subunit of the eukaryotic ribosome. It is transcribed by RNA polymerase I as part of the 45S precursor that also contains 18S and 28S rRNA.
Source: RNAcentral